GUAUGCCUACGGGGGGCAGCAGUGGGGGAUAUCGCACAAUGGGGGGAACCCUGAUGCAGCGACGCCGCGUGGGUGAAGAAGCACCUCGGCGCGUAAAGCCCUGUCAGCAGGGAAGAAAAUGACGGUACCUGAAGAAGAAGCCCCGGCUAACUCCGUGCCAGCAGCCGCGGUAAUACGGAGGGUGCGAGCGUUAAUCGGAAUUACUGGGCGUAAAGCGCUCGUAGGCGGUAUGUCACGUCAAGGGUGAAAUCCCCGCG
This 257-nucleotide ribosomal RNA is filed under the name uncultured bacterium. RNAcentral's name for it is "partial 16S ribosomal RNA". It matches the Rfam family "Bacterial small subunit ribosomal RNA", at positions 333 to 607 of the family's 1533-position model. The record is from RNAcentral.